AUUGAACGCUGGCGGCAGGCUUAACACAUGCAAGUCGAGCGGGGUGAUGGUGCUUGCACUAUCACUUAGCGGCGGACGGGUGAGUAAUGCUUAGGAAUCUGCCUAUUAGUGGGGGACAACAUCUCGAAAGGGAUGCUAAUACCGCAUACGUCCUACGGGAGAAAGCAGGGGAUCACUUGUGACCUUGCGCUAAUAGAUGAGCCUAAGUCGGAUUAGCUAGUUGGUGGGGUAAAGGCCUACCAAGGCGACGAUCUGUAGCGGGUCUGAGAGGUUGAUCCGCCACACUGGGACUAAGACACGGACCAGAAUCCUACGGGAGGCAGCAGUGGGGAAUAUUGGACAAUGGGGGGAACCCUGAUCCAGCCAUGCCGCGUGUGUGAAGAAGGCCUUAUGGUUGUAAAGCACUUUAAGCGAGGAGGAGGCUCUUUUGGUUAAUACCCAAGAUGAGUGGACGUUACUCGCAGAAUAAGCACCGGCUAACUCUGUGCCAGCAGCCGCCGCCG
This 503-nucleotide ribosomal RNA is filed under the name uncultured bacterium. RNAcentral describes it as "partial 16S ribosomal RNA". It matches the Rfam family "Bacterial small subunit ribosomal RNA", at positions 30 to 523 of the family's 1533-position model. The record is from RNAcentral.